Unclassified non-coding RNA from Chlorocebus sabaeus (green monkey), 98 nucleotides. It matches the Rfam family "Y RNA". From Rfam's summary of the family: Y RNAs are components of the Ro ribonucleoprotein particle (Ro RNP), in association with Ro60 and La proteins. The Y RNAs and Ro60 and La proteins are well conserved, but the function of the Ro RNP is not known. In humans the RNA component can be one of four small RNAs -- hY1, hY3, hY4 and hY5. NCBI's taxonomy places the organism in Eukaryota, Metazoa, Chordata, Mammalia, Primates, Cercopithecidae. The record is from Ensembl.
GGCUGUCUGAGUCCAGUGGUGUUUACAACUAAUGUCACAACCAGUUAGAGCUUUAUUUGUUCUUUCUCCACUCCAGCUGCUUCAUUUGACUAGCAAAA